CUAGCGACAGGCUUAACACAUGCAAGUCGAGGGGCUGCACAGGUAGCAAUACCGGGUGGCGACCGGCGCACGGGUGAGUAACGCGUAUGCAACUUGCCUAUCAGAGGGGGAUAACCCGGCGAAAGUCGGACUAAUACCGCAUGAAGCAGGGAUCCCGCAUGGGAAUAUUUGCUAAAGAUUCAUCGCUGAUAGAUAGGCAUGCGUUCCAUUAGGCAGUUGGCGGGGUAACGGCCCACCAAACCGACGAUGGAUAGGGGUUCUGAGAGGAAGGUCCCCCACAUUGGUACUGAGACACGGACCAAACUCCUACGGGAGGCAGCAGUGAGGAAUAUUGGUCAAUGGCCGAGAGGCUGAACCAGCCAAGUCGCGUGAGGGAUGAAGGUUCUAUGGAUCGUAAACCUCUUUUAUAAGGGAAUAAAGUGCGGGACGUGUCCCGUUUUGUAUGUACCUUAUGAAUAAGGAUCGGCUAACUCCGUGCCAGCAGCCGCGGUAAUACGGAGGAUCCGAGCGUUAUCCGGAUUUAUUGGGUUUAAAGGGUGCGUAGGCGGCCUUUUAAGUCAGCGGUGAAAGUCUGUGGCUCAACCAUAGAAUUGCCGUUGAAACUGGGGGGCUUGAGUAUGUUUGAGGCAGGCGGAAUGCGUGGUGUAGCGGUGAAAUGCUUAGAUAUCACGCAGAACCCCGAUUGCGAAGGCAGCCUGCCAAGCCAUUACUGACGCUGAUGCACGAAAGCGUGGGGAUCAAACAGGAUUAGAUACCCUGGUAGUCCACGCAGUAAACGAUGAUCACUAGCUGUUUGCGAUACAUUGUAAGCGGCACAGCGAAAGCGUUAAGUGAUCCACCUGGGGAGUACGCCGGCAACGGUGAAACUCAAAGGAAUUGACGGGGGCCCGCACAAGCGGAGGAACAUGUGGUUUAAUUCGAUGAUACGCGAGGAACCUUACCCGGGUUUGAACGCAUUCGGACCGAGGUGGAAACACCUUUUCUAGCAAUAGCCGUUUGCGAGGUGCUGCAUGGUUGUCGUCAGCUCGUGCCGUGAGGUGUCGGCUUAAGUGCCAUAACGAGCGCAACCCUUGCCACUAGUUACUAACAGGUGAUGCUGAGGACUCUGGUGGGACUGCCAGCGUAAGCUGCGAGGAAGGCGGGGAUGACGUCAAAUCAGCACGGCCCUUACAUCCGGGGCGACACACGUGUUACAAUGGCGUGGACAAAGGGAGGCCACCUGGCGACAGGGAGCGAAUCCCCAAACCACGUCUCAGUUCGGAUCGGAGUCUGCAACCCGACUCCGUGAAGCUGGAUUCGCUAGUAAUCGCGCAUCAGCCAUGGCGCGGUGAAUACGUUCCCGGGCCUUGUACACACCGCCCGUCAAGCCAUGGGAGCCGGGGGUACCUGAAGUCCGUAACCGCGAGGAUCGGCCUAGGGUAAAACUGGUGACUGG
RNAcentral lists this ribosomal RNA (1435 nucleotides) under uncultured organism. RNAcentral's name for it is "SSU rRNA". It matches the Rfam family "Bacterial small subunit ribosomal RNA". The record is from RNAcentral.